AUGAAAUAGAGUAACUGAUUACCCUAAAAAAAGGAAUCAAUACUUAUACUCCUCUAAAAGGAGACCUAGCAAAAAUGGAGCGGAUAUUUUCCUAUCAAUAGAGCUGUACAGUCCAGUGAGGCUACAGAUCUUAACAAAUAAGGAAAUAAAAAAAAAAAUCAAAAUUUGAACCUAUUAAAUUCCUUAACACUAUUCUAAUGUAUUUUGGGCUCACAAUAUAAUUGACUGUAGCUUUCUCACAUUCAUUUCGCAUUCCCAUUCAUACAAUUCAUUCAUAGCGAGCAAUCAUACACAAGCUAAAUUCUAUUAUAUAAGCCAAAAUACUUCAAUAAUCAAUGUCAACAUUACCCUAACAAUAGCUAAUCUCCAGGACUAAUGUGAAAUCAAAUAGAGUUUUCUAAUUAAAACAGAGUGGGGAAUAAAGCCCUAUUGACUUAAAUAAAUGCCUCAUACAAACUCUAUAUAAAUUAUCUACUCAUAGAUAAACUUUCUUUAUACUUAAACAAAUUAAUAAAAAUGAUUGUUAACAGCCAAAUGCUGAAAUCUAACCUAACACUUUAAAUGUGUGUCUAACAGUUUGAAAAUCUUCUUAUCUUGACACUUGGUGUCUAAACAAACGAAUCAUCAAAACUAGCACUUAAAUGGAGCGAACUGAACUUCAAGCAUUUACCUCAUUGCCAGAUAUGAUAGUUCUACAAGUGUUUUUCCAACCCUAUUUCUUAUGUAGGUCAUUGGCAUUCCCUUUUCUCUGCUAUUCAGCUAGACUCUUUCUUUGGACUUAUAGGGCUUUCAGUACCCAGCUCGUUCUGGAGUUUAACAACAGAGAUCACUUGCUAUCCUAUCAUAUCAACUCUUAGACUAUAUCUGCCUUACACACUCUCAUUAGAAAUUCUCUUUGGGCUUUAUUCUGGACCUAUGGAAUUAGAGGGUGUCAAGUUUAAACCCAACGCAUAUUCCGAACCAACCCAUAGCGAAUAUAUUACAAGCACAGCAGAUACCUAAUGCGUCUAAGUUCCUUAGUCAUUCUUAAAGUUUAACCAAAAUUCAGAACCUUAAAAUAAAAUUGAAACAACAUAAACUGUUGGACUUUAAGUCUUAGAUUACAACCUGCCUCCUAAUACAGGAUUGUAGUUUAAUUAAACACAAGAGAAGUAAAGCUGAAAACCCUUAGAUUUACCUCCUAACAUUAAAUCUCAAUUAAAAAAAAAACUGAAAACCCCUUUACAGUGACACUUAAAGAAAUAAAAAAAAAACAAAAUUGUAGCAAAGAAAAAAAAACUUAUAUCCUUUUAAGACCACAUUUUAAGACCUUCAAAUCACUUCCUAAUACUUCAUACCAUGAUCAAAAAUUUAGCUAAACUCAGUACACAUUCUAUAGGUUUACUCAUUGGCAGCCUGGGCACGAUUUACACCCCGUGGGCUUCUUGACCCUGGUCGAACGGCGUAUUUCAGGGCCGCCUACAUUGCCACCAAUUGCCCUAUUUACUACCCCUAGCGGGUUUCCUAAGAUUGCUGUCUCUCGUGGUUCCUCUUGUCCUACAGUUCUAUGGGAAUAUAUUGGAUACGUUGGGUGUACCCAGUGAUCCUCAUCAUCAAUGACACCAUCUAUUUGUUCCUGUGCGUUUUCGUCCCCUGUAGGGUAAAUCUUUACCGGGGCAUGAUAGGCCUUCAUUCUAUCUAUGUGGAUCUUAUCUAAGUUCCCCGUCUCCAAAUCCUUCAAAAGAUAAACAGUGUCACCCGCCCUUUGUAAUACCUCAUAUGGUCCUCUGUACCUUGGCUCAAAUUUAUGACGUCCUUUCGUCUCAUGCAUUCUCUUUACCAAAACUAGAUCCCCUGUCUCAAAGGUUCUUAACUAUCUAGCUUCAAACUCAGCCCUGGCUUCUUGUUGCUCCAUCAAGUAAGUUUGCCUCACCAUCUCUCUCGUUUUCUCAACCUCCUCCACCAGUUCCCGCUCAUAGAAGACCGCCAUUUCGGUAAUUGAAUCCUCGCAUACAGGAUUAAGCUCCCCUUCCUGGAAAGGUUGUGGAAGCCUCAGCUCAUGUCCGAAGACCAGUUUCGCUGGAGUAAACCCAGUACUAUCAUGUACAGUGGUUCUGAUAGCGAGAGCUACCAUUGGUAAGGUGGUAUCCUAGUUGUUCCCCGCUGUACACCUGCGUAAAGAUUCUAUUACCGUCCUAUUGAGUCUUUCUACGGCGCCAUUACUCUGAGGUUUCCAGGCUGUGGUAUUUACUGCACCAACCCCCAUGGCCUUGCAAACUCCCUUAAAUACGCAACUCAUGAAUGCUGAACCUCGGUCAGAGAGUAUUGUUUUUGGUACUCCAAAGGUAGUGAUAAUCCUCUCCAAUAAGGCCCUAACCACUGUAUUGGCACACUGGUCCUUAGUAGGAAUCAGAAUUGGGAACUUAGUAAAUAGAUCCACAAUAGUCAAGAUAGUCGAAUAACCUCUUGGGGUUGUCUCCAAUGGUCCUAUGAAGUCGAGAGCUAGGUGCUCAAAGGGUUUUUCGGGUCUAAAGUGGAGAGCACUAGCGGCUUUGGUUACGCCUUGAUUUGACAGCUGACAGCUCUCGCAUCUGCGUAUAUAAUUCCGGACUUGAGUCCUCAUGCCAGGCCAAUAAUAGUCACCCUUCAGCCUUCUCAUAACCUUUUUAACUCCGAAAUGACCUCCAGUAGGGAUAUCAUGAUGAUAGCUGAUCACUGUUUCCCUAAAACCUGUAGGAACCACCUUCACCCAGGUACCCCUUUCAUUCUUUGUAACGAGGUAAUUGUCUAGUAACCUAUAUUCCCGGUUAUUAUACCUCUCCGUGCUAUUUGGUUCUAAUUUUGUUAACUUAUUUAUUACUGGAACCCAUCCUUUCUCUUGAAGUAAACCUUCCCAUAUCCGAUUACUAUUUAAUAAGGGGGGCCGAUGGUCUCUUACCACUGCAGCCACCACCCUCCCAUCUUGCGAUAGGUUUGGAUCAUCCUCGCACGGGAACCUACUAAGAAAGUCGGCUACCGUGUUUUCCUUCCCCGGCACAUAUAUGAAUGUAACGUUGAAGUCUUGGAUGAUCUCUGCCCACCGAGACAGUCGAGCGUUCUUGUAAUCAGACCCCUUAUUAUACGUAAUCGGUUUAUGGUCGGUAUGUACUUCUACCCUACUGCCCACCAGGAGGUGUUUAAAGUGUUGCAGGGACAACACCACUGCAUAAGCCUCCCUUUCUAUUGUAGAAUAGCGGAUCUCAGGACCAGUCAGUCUCUUGCUAUAAUAAGCAAUUGGUCGCACUGUCCCAUUGACCUCCUGUUGGAGGCAGGCGCCUACCGCUAUUCCACUGGCGUCAGUGUUCAGGAUGAAAGGUAUCCCUAUUGUCGGGUGAAUUAAUAGUGGCUCGCUGGUUAAUAUUCCCUUCACCGUCUCAAAGGCUGACUGCUCUAUCGUACCCCAAGCAAAUCUAUGUCCCUUCCUUAAUAGGUUGCUCAGUGGAGCCAGGACCUCACCUGCGUUGGGGAUAAAGCGUCGGUAAUAGUUAACAGUACCCAAUAGACUUCUGACUGCCUUGAUGUUAUGAGGUCGUUUCAAAUCCCUGAGAGCGGCGACAUUAUCCCACAUGGGUUUAAUCCCAUUUUUGUCAAUCACAUGACCCAGGUACUCUACCGAGUCCCUGAAGAGAUAGCUCUUCCCGUAUUUGGCCUUCAAACCGAACUUACUCAGGCGUCCGAGUACAGCGGCAAGGUCCGCUACAUGCUGCUCGUGAGAGUCGCCGUAGACAAUGACGUCAUCGAUGUACAGGCGAACGCAUUUAAACAACAAGUCACCUAGGACCAAGUUCAUGGCCCACUGGAAGACUUGUGCUGAGUUUUUUUGCUCCUUGUGGCAAACGCGUGAAGCGGUAUCUCCCCCAGGGCAGAGAGAAGGUAAAGUAAUCUCUGUCACUCUCCGGGAUGUGAAUCUGGAAGAAUCCAGAAGUCAGGUCUAAUGUGCUGAAAACCUUUGCACCCGCGAAUGCGCGCAGAUUGUCUUCAACACGGGGUAUUGGGAACGGGAAGAAUUCAGUUGCCUCAUUGAUCGGACGUAGAUCCAUGGUGAUGCGGACACUACCAUCGGUUUUGGCAACCGGGAAUAGAGGGGAAUUCCACAGAGAGGUACUCCCUUCUAUUAUCCCUACUUCCUCCAGUUCAUCUACCAACGCUUUCACCUUUGAGACCAAUUUGUUCGGGAUCGGAUAUUGCCUCCUAUAUACUGGUUUGCUGGUCAGCAUCCUCAGCUUGGGGGCUGUGAUGGUGGAGCCAUUCCCCAUAUCAUUUUUAUCAUUGCAGAAGCAAUGACUGAAGGCCCUGAAAAUAUCGUCGUCCGUGCGGACUUCGUUUAGGGGUAUCCUGGGUGGUUGAGGAGACAUUUCUAUCGUUUGUAAUGAGGAAAGAAAGGCCGACUUGGUCGGAUCUUCCUUUCUUUCGUAGUCGGAUCUGAUACCUCCGUCAUAGCUGAGGUGUAGCUUCAGAGCUCGGAAACCUGGUAAUCCGAGUAUGCCGUUAAAUCCUAUUUCCGCCAUGUGGCAAUACUCGAAGGUCGUUCUUACCUCCCUAAUGGGCUUACCAUUCACCACUGCCCCUAUUUCAAACACCUCACUCCCUAAUGACCUUAAAGAUUUUCCUGAUAUACCUUUAAGGUAAGUAGGCUUGUCUAGUCCCUCAGUGCAUAAAUUUAAAUUGUCAAUAUUUACAAUGUUGGCCUCUGAGCCUGAAUCUAUGAUAAAUUUUAGAGACCUCUCGCCCAGAGACCUCCCCUUAUUUAAGAUAUAUACAUUUAUGGCAGGUAAACUGGCCGCAAAUCCCCCUCCUGCCUUGAGGCAAGCCGGACCUAGUUUUUUCUCUGCUUCUGCUGGCAGUCUCGGAUGAGGUGUCCUGGCUCGCCGCACCCGUAGCACUUGGGGGGCGGUCUCCCUGCACCCUGCUUCUUGUAGUCCACUCCAGGGUUCUCCUCCCUUUCACCGUUGGGUACCCUCCUUUGUUGUCUAGGUGGGGAUGGAUUCCGUCGUUGUCUGGGUGGUUGUUGUGCUGGUCUCCUCUGCCAGUUCCUGAAGGGAGCUCCCCUCCUGUUAUCUUCAUAAUCCCUUCUUCCUGCGGGGUGUGAUGGCCACCUUCCUCCCCCGUUAUUUGUACUAUUGGUACUCCCCCUUUGUCUCCUAAGGGCUGUAUUCUCGAUUUCUAGUGCCUCCAUCUUCUUCUCCAGCUCGGCUAACUUGUUGCCCAUGUCACCCAGCCUCUGGCCGUUCCUGUCGGCGCUGGAGCGCUGCGCCUCCCUGUAGUCCUCCUCCCUUUGUUCCAGCCACUGUAGCUUGGUGACUAGGGUCUCCCAGGGUUCGCCUUGGUAUAGAUGAGCCUUUUCCCACAGGUUGGGGCAGAGUCCUUCGAUGAAAACCUCCGCGAUCUCCGAGAUGCCUAUCUUAAGGCCAUCCGACUCUGCUCCCGCUGCAAGGUCGCUCACCCGCGCGGCGAAGUCUCGUACUUUCUCCCCGGCCCCCUGUCUACAUGAGAAGAACUGGCUCCUCAUCUCCCUUGUAGAGACCCUCUUUCGGAACCGCCCCUCUAGACUCGCCUUCAACUCUUCGUACCCGAGGCGGAUUUGCUGGGAUUGUAGGGCAAACUCCCUCGCAGCCCCCCGGAGGUGGUUGUCCAAAAGGAUUCUUUUCCUGGCGUCGUCUAGGGCCCUUAGGUCGUAGACAAGCUCAAAGUCCUUUAUGAACUUUGUGAAGGGGACUAUGCCCUUCCCUUCAAACUUCUCCAGGUUGUACAGCAUGGAGGGCAGCUGGGCUUGGCUAGUUGCGGCAUUCUCUUCAUCAGCAGGCAUGGUCCUCAGUUGUUGGAUCUACAGGAACUAGGUAUUAGUCAUUCACCCUGGUUGCAACGGUAGUAUCAGGACCUAUAGAGGCGGGCGAAGUAGGGAAUACACAACAGAAGAAAGGGGAGAAGCCCUUCUUAAUCAUGUUCCUAAAACACUGUGAAGUUCGCGUUUCUAAAAAAAAAAUGGUAAUCAAAACAUAGAAAACCAUAUGUGGACGCAUAAGGAAAUUUACUCUCAUCAGUGCGGGAGAUGGAGGAGCUCACUGUUAGACAGUGUCGUGUGGAUGUGGACGCAAACAUCGCGUCUCUGCUGAUAUCACACUGUUGAGUAAUAAAACUCCAUAUAUAAAGAAAUCCUAGUGACCCUAAUAGACCACCCAUAGCUCGCCUAGUUCACCUCUAGACAGUGUCAUGCGGAUGUAGACGCAAACAUCGCGUCUCUGAGUUAUCACACUGUCAAGUAAGUAAAGAUUCUAUAAAAAGAAAUCUGAUUGAAAAAAAAAAUAGUAAUAAAAACAUAGAAGACCAUAUGUGAACGUAUAAGGAGGUUUACUCUCAUCAGUGCGGGAGAUGGAGGAGCUCACUGUUAGACAGUGUCGUGUGGAUGUGGACACAAACAUCGCGUCUCUGCUGAUAUCACACUGUUGAGUAAUAAAAUUCCAUAUAUUGUUACAUCAUGA
Molecule: non-coding RNA, 6497 nt
Organism: Cordylochernes scorpioides
Lineage: Eukaryota; Metazoa; Arthropoda; Arachnida; Pseudoscorpiones; Chernetidae
Source: the annotation of a GenBank genome assembly